GACGAACGCUAGCGGCGUGCCUAAGGUAUGCAAGUCGAACGGGAGGGGCAACCCUCCAGUGGCGAACGGUCGCGUAACACGUAGACAACCUGCCUCCCAGUGGGGGAUAACAGCGGGAAACUGCUGCUAAUACCGCAUACGGUCCGGCCCGGCAUCGGGACGGUACGAAAGGGGCAACUCGCUGGGAGAUGGGUCUGCGGCCUAUCAGGUAGUUGGUGGGGUAACGGCCUACCAAGCCGACGACGGGUAGCGGGCUGAGAGGAUGAUCCGCCGGACGGGGACUGAGACACGGCCCCGACUCCUUCGGGAGGCAGCAAUGAGGAAUAUUGCGCAAUGGGCGAAAGCCUGACGCAGCGACGCCGCGUGGGUGAGGAAGUCCU
Molecule: ribosomal RNA, 380 nt
Filed under: uncultured bacterium
Lineage: Bacteria
Description: bacterial SSU rRNA
Rfam family: Bacterial small subunit ribosomal RNA
Source: RNAcentral